CCUUGCCAUUUGCUUACAUUUGUUAUAUGAUUGUGAUAUUAAUUUGUAAAUUAAUCCACAAUUGUGAUAACUCAGCUUUGGAAAUGCUUGUCAGUUUCCAAACUGAUGUUAUUGCAUGCACACUUUUACACAUUAUUAGGCAUUGUAAGUCUGAAUACAUAUUACCAAUUUGCAGCCUCUAACAGGUUGUUCGGAUACUUGUUGGAAGUCAUAGUCAUCCUCUUGGGAUUAUUAUUUGCUGUUUUGGCAAUGCUUUUCCUUUAUGGUACUUGAGUAUCUAUUAAUAUCUUUCAGCUUUCGCUGUUUAAUUUAUUAAAAUCCUUUGAGCAAAGUUCUGACCUUUUUCACAUCCCUGCAUUCAUGCGUAACACCUGCUCUAAAUAUUUCUACUUUUUUAUCUGUUGUGUACAGGAGAACCUUGAGAAUGCCAACGUUGGGUCAGAUGAACCCAAGCUGUUCCCUGAUCAUGUUACUACUCAGGAGAACCUUGAGAAUGCCAACGUUGGGUCAGAUGAACCCAAGCUGUUCCCUGAUCAUGUUACUACUCAGGUAAUUGAAUGUUAUAUAACCUGUAUUUACUCUCCAUUUUAUGUGGUAUCUUUUCUAGCAUGUUUGCCAAGUAAGGAUGCAACUAAUAUUCCACCUCGGAAACAUCCUGUCCAUCAUUUUGUAGUAGAGUUCACGUGACCGCACACCUUUCUAGCCUAACCCUCUGGAUAUCUUUUGAACACAUUCAUUUACCCUUAUGGGGUCCAUUCAAUUUGAUGGUUCAAUUUUUGUCGUUGAAAUUCACAUCACACACACACACUUGUUUCCAGUCUUGACAUAGUGGGGCCCUCCCGUUUUGAUUAUAUUUGAGGUGAUUUUAAAUACCUUUAGAAAUGCUUGUCAGUUUCCAAACUGAUGUUAUUGCAUGCACACUUUUACACAUUAUUAGGCAUUGUCAGUCUUGACAGUUGAAUCAAACGUAUUACCAAUUGGCAGCCUCUAACAGGUUGUUAGGAUACUUGUUGGAAGUCAUAGUCAUCCUCUUGGGAUUAUUAUUUGCUGUUUUGGCAAUGCUUUUCCUUUAUGGUACUUGAGUAUCUAUUAAUAUCUUUCAGCUUUUGCUGUUUAAUUUAUUAAAAUCCUUUGAGCAAAGUUCUGACCUUUUUCACAUCCCUGCAUUCAUGCGUAACACCUGCUCUAAAUAUUUCUACUUUUUUAUCUGUUGUGUACAGUAGAACCUUGAGAAUGCCAACGUUGGGUCAGAUGAACCCAAGCUGUUCCCUGAUCAUGUUACUACUCAGGUAAUUGAAUGUUAUAUAACCUGUAUUUACUCUCCAUUUUAUGUGGUAUCUUUUCUAGCAUGUUUGCCAAGUAAGGAUGCAACUAAUAUUCCACCUCGGAAACAUCCUGUCCAUCAUUUAGUAGUAGAGUUCACCUGACCGCACACCUUUCUAGCCUAACCCUCUGGAUAUCUUUUGAACACAUUCAUUUACACUUAUGGGGUCCAUUCAAUUUGAUGGUUCAAUUUUUGUUGUUGAAAUUCACAUCACACACACACACUUGUUUCCAGUCUUGACAUAGUGGGGCCCUCCCGUUUUGAUUAUAUUUGAGGUGAUUUUAAAUACCUUUAGAAAUGCUUGUCAGUUUCCAAACUGAUGUUAUUGCAUGCACACUUUUACACAUUAUUAGGCAUUGUCAGUCUAGACACUUGAAUCAAACGUAUUACCAAUUGGCAGCCUCUAACAGGUUGUUGGGAGUUAUAGCCAUGCUCUUGGGAUUAUUAUUUGCUGUUUUGGCAAUGUUUUUCCUUAAUGGUACUU
Gadus morhua (Atlantic cod) is the source of this 1808-nucleotide long non-coding RNA. The record is from Ensembl. Lineage: Eukaryota; Metazoa; Chordata; Actinopteri; Gadiformes; Gadidae.